This 440-nucleotide ribosomal RNA is filed under the name uncultured bacterium. Its description in RNAcentral is "bacterial SSU rRNA". It matches the Rfam family "Bacterial small subunit ribosomal RNA", at positions 28 to 507 of the family's 1533-position model. The record is from RNAcentral.
GAUGAACGCUGGCGGUAUGCCUAACACAUGCAAGUCGUACGAGAGUUUUUAACUCUAGUGGCGGACGGGUGAGUAACACGUGAGAAUUUGCCUUUAGAGGGGGACAACAAUUGGAAACGAAUGCUAAUACCCCAUAUGCUUUCGAGUGAAAUGGAUUUUAUCCGCCUAGAGAGAAGCUCGCGGCUGAUUAGCUUGUUGGUAAGGUAAGAGCUUACCAAGGCGACGAUCAGUAUCUGGUUUGAGAGGACGAUCAGACACACUGGAACUGAGACACGGUCCAGACUCCUACGGGAGGCAGCAGUGGGGAAUUUUCCGCAAUGGGCGAAAGCCUGACGGAGCAAUACCGCGUGAGGGAAGAAUGCCUAUGGGUUGUAAACCUCUUUUUUCAGGGAGGAAUAAAAUGACGUGUACCUGAAGAAUAAGCAUCGGCUAACUCCGUG